GAUGAAGAACGCAGCGAAAUGCGAUAAGUAGUGUGAAUUGCAGAAUUCAGUGAAUCAUCGAAUCUUUGAACGCACAUUGCGCCCUUUGGUAUUCCAAAGGGCAUGCCUGUCCGAGCGUCAUUUGUACCCUCAAGCUUUGCUUGGUGUUGGGCGUCUUGUCUCUAGCUUUGCUGGAGACUCGCCUUAAAGUAAUUGGCAGCCGGCCUACUGGUUUCGGAGCGCAGCACAAGUCGCACUCUCUAUCAGCAAAGGUCUAGCAUCCAUUAAGCCUUUUUUUCAACUUUUGACCUCGGAUCAGGUAGGGAUACCCGCUGAACUUAAGCAUAUCAAUAAGCGGAGGA
Molecule: unclassified non-coding RNA, 341 nt
Filed under: soil metagenome
Description: partial contains 5.8S ribosomal RNA, internal transcribed spacer 2, and large subunit ribosomal RNA
Rfam family: 5.8S ribosomal RNA (bases 1-120)
Source: RNAcentral